Molecule: long non-coding RNA, 1576 nt
Organism: Papaver somniferum (opium poppy)
Lineage: Eukaryota; Viridiplantae; Streptophyta; Magnoliopsida; Ranunculales; Papaveraceae
Exons: 5
Source: RefSeq, a predicted model, not a curated record
AGAAGAUUAGACCCUCUCAUUCUCUAUCUCAUCCUCUUCUCUCAUGGUUGAAAAAUAUUCUUAAGUUCAAUACAGAGUUUAGUAUAUCACUGGAGCAAAUGAUAGAUGAAUCUUUCAUUUAAAAACGGUCUUGGAGUAGACUGUGAAUGCAGCUAAUGAGUAUAAGGUUUGAGUGCAUCGAGGUCCAAGAAUGAACAAGGAAGAAAAUCACUGCUCACUGGUAUGUCUUAUGAAUUCUUGUGAUGAGGAGUUAGCUUUGACAGGAUGGGGUACCUUGGACUGUGAUGUUGUAGUAAUCUUGCACAGACUGAAGCAUGUUUUUUCUCUUUGCAUAUUGGUAAGCAAUCUAGUUGAUAUUUUCUUUUAAUUAGUGUUCGUUAUCUGAAUGUCAACUGCCAUUACAGGACGUUAAUUUUCUUCUUAGUGAUUUUGCUUGAGCUUUGUUGUUCCUAUAUUUACUGUUGAGAUACAAGUCAUGUUGUCUACUAUGCUCUACAACUGUACAUUUCAAAGUCAUUUUCAACUCUAAGCUGGUUUCUCAUAGCAUAACAAGAACAUGCAGCUAUGAAACAUCUGUUGAUCGACAAACUUCACAAGGAGAUAAGUGUACAUCAAUCCUUACCUUUGUUUAUCUUAUAAUGCUUGUUUUUGAAUGCAAAUUGUACUCAAUUGCAAUGACAUGAUGUAGAUUAUCUUUUAAACUUGAGCUUGAUUUCUAUAAACUAUUAAGUGUCAUUUGAUCUCUUCUUUACGGUUGCAGUACUUCUGAAAUUAGGACUUGCAUUUUAAGAGCAUAAAUAUUUAUCAAUUCCCCAAAAUUAUUCAUGUAGUUCAUUGCAGGUACUGCUUUGCUUAAAGUGGGUGGAAGAAUGGUAUACUCAACCUUUGAUAUUCUGAUAUCUAUGAUUGUUAUUCAUGUACACUUCUAGAUAGAGAUUCCUGGAUGAUUAAUGUAGCGAUAUAACUGAUACUAUUGUGUAUGAGGUAUAUAACAUCAUUUAAUUGGCAUUUGUAUAGCAGGUCCGUGAUAAGGGUGUAGGGUUAUCUUUUUACAAAGAUGUGUCUACGUACCAUAGAACUGCCACUGCGACUAAGCAUCUUCCGGUCAAAGCUCUGGUGCCGAGACAAUGGUUCCUUCGGGUUUAGAUGAAAAUGUAGUUCCUCUUGGAAAUGACAAUCAGAUGGAGAAUGUGGAGGAGAAACGUCAAAAUGUCUGUAAUGCAGUUUCUAAUCAUGUCACCAAGAAGUGUGAGAUCACUGCGAGUCCAACUGAUACUUAGGAAAUGGGCUCGAUGUAAAAAGAGUGAAGUUCGAAGAUGGUUAUGUAAAGGAAACCGUUAAUAGCAAAGAAGAGCACAUUCAUUGCACUUAGGUUCAGACUGUAGGCGGACUGAUCAAUCUGCUGACUUGGAUGAAGAUGAGAUAGUACAUGAAAGCACAUCAUAACUAAUCAGUCUUUAGAAGUUAUUGGUAAAAGAUCUGUGUAUUCAUUAUUACAUCAGUCGUAACAAUCAUUCGAGUGGACUGACUCUUUUGUUUCGGGGAAACUCGCAUAUUAAUGAAGCUGGUUAUACUU